Molecule: ribosomal RNA, 468 nt
Filed under: uncultured bacterium
Lineage: Bacteria
Description: partial 16S ribosomal RNA
Rfam family: Bacterial small subunit ribosomal RNA
Source: RNAcentral
GACGAACGCUGGCGGCGUGCUUAACACAUGCAAGUCGAACGGAAAGGCCCUGCUUUUGUGGGGUGCUCGAGUGGCGAACGGGUGAGUAACACGUGAGUAACCUGCCCUUGACUUUGGGAUAACUUCAGGAAACUGGGGCUAAUACCGGAUAGGAGCUCCUGCUGCAUGGUGGGGGUUGGAAAGUUUCGGCGGUUGGGGAUGGACUCGCGGCUUAUCAGCUUGUUGGUGGGGUAGUGGCUUACCAAGGCUUUGACGGGUAGCCGGCCUGAGAGGGUGACCGGCCACAUGGGGACUGAGGUACGGCCCAGACUCCUACGGGAGGCAGCAGUGGGGAGUAUGGCAGAACGGGCGGAAGCCUGAUGCGGCAGCGCUGCGUGCGGGAUGACGGCCUUCGGGUUGUAAACCGCUGUCGCCUGUGACGAGGCGUGAGUGACGGUAAUGGGUAAAGAAGCACCGGCUAACUACGUG